This 17-nucleotide ribosomal RNA is filed under the name Verticillium dahliae. Its description in RNAcentral is "partial 28S ribosomal RNA". Lineage: Eukaryota; Fungi; Ascomycota; Sordariomycetes; Glomerellales; Plectosphaerellaceae. The record is from RNAcentral.
ACGGUGACCUCGGAUCA